GACAAAUACUAUGUGUUUUAUCUCAUAUAAGGGUCCUAGCUUCAGAUCUUUAGUUUUGCGUGUUUAACAUGGGAUGUUUUAACAGAUAGUAGCUAGGAACAAGCAGCAGACCACUGUCAGGAAGGAUGUGUCAGGGAGUGGAGAUGGUAGAAUGUAUGUGAAGAGAAAGUAGAGAGGAAUGGCACUGGAGGACAGGGGUUCUAGCAGCUAAGAGAGCGGUAGAGGGACGGCAUCGACAAAAUGAUGUGUGCAGGAAACCUGUGAUCUUGUGAUCCAAAUAUAAAACUAGGAUAAGAGGAGGCAUUAGAACAUAUGACAGAAUGCGGAGAACCCUGAGAGCUGAAGGUUGAAGUGCAGGUGCAUACAGGGAAUAGGGAAAGGGAAAGUAGGGUAAGCUAACUAAAACUAAGGAUGUAUGGAGAAGUCUUGUGAUACCCCAGUAAUUUGAAAACUAAUUCUUUUCUUAAAAACAAAAAAAAAGUAAUUUGAAAAAAAAAUACCUCACACUGGUGAAGAAUGCUUAUCCUAGAAGGCAAGAGUUACUAAAUGAAAAUCUCAGUGCCACACGUGGGUCACCCCCCUAUGAGGUAUUGGUUAAAGAGGCCUCGGAGGGAUCCAAAUCAGUUACCAGCUCUUGACAUUGCUCUGGGUUAUCCACCAUAGUUAGAGAGCAAGAUCCUAUUGCUGAAGACACCCCAUAAUUUGGUUGCAUGACACAGGGAAAUCAGUCUUGAAAUGACCAGGGAACUUUCCAUACUGGCUAAAUUUCAGUGCUAGAAGGUGCUAUCCCAGCUGCAGGGGGAAAAGGGCCCGGCAAGAUUUGCCUGUUAGUGUAAUGCUGGCCAUACUAUUAAUGAGGGUGACCAUAAACAGUGUUUAGGAUUGGGUUGGUUGGAUAUGAGACCUGCUCCACAGAAGGGAUCUUAUACCUAGUAUCAUAAACAUCUACAACAAAGGGCCAGAAAUUAGAGCAGGAGGUUAGAAGGGGUGCUGUGAAAUGCUGAAAUGGUUAAUGCUUGGGUGAAUUCACAGCGACUGUGGUUGUGGGAGCCCACAGAAUUGACUCUGUUCCAUCUUGACUUAAGGUCAGUGAGUUUAAACCUACUCUUGCUCUUUCAAGGUUAAACACAUACAUACAUGUAAAGGCAUAAAAAGGUCUAGAGGAUACAAUAAUGCAGGAAUGGAAAGGAAGAGACAAAAUUGUCAAUAUUUGCAAACAGAGUGAUUAUGGUCACAGAAAAGCUAACUGAAAAUGGUUAAAAUUAACAAAAACAUUCAGAAGGGUGUUGCAUAUGACAUAAAUAUUUUAAAAAGCAAUAAUAUUUUAGGUAUCAAAAUUGCCCAUUUAGAAAAUACAAGGGAAAAUGAUUCCCAUAUAUAGAAUUUACAAAACUUUAGUGCAUCCUUAAAUGGGAUAGUCUUAAACACACCUGACUACAUGAUGAUAAAUCCAACCAAAGGACAUUCUGAGUAAAGAGAAACACAUUUGUACCAGAAAGAGAGAUGACAAAUAUUCCCAACUUACUCUAACCUGAAAAGUUAUAACCAGUAGCUUAAGGUGUUUUCUUUGGUUGGUUAAUUCAUAGUGUUUGCUUAUUUGAUUGGUUUCUGAUUUUGGUGGGAUAUGGGAAGAGGGGUACUUGACAAAAAUAGUUUUAUAGUUUAUAUGGAAGAAUAAACAGAAUUUACCAAGGAAAACACGUGAAUACCAUAGUGAGGAAUGCACUCAGAGCAAGAGAGUGUAGUGGUACUGGCAUGGAAAAAAAUAAAAAGAACCUUCAGGCAGCACAGUAAAACACAAAGGAAAACAAAACCCCAGGAGAGAUGACCUUAAGUCUGGAGAAUAAAGUUCUCAAAAAUGGAGGUGCCCAGUGUAAGUCAGUGUGCAGCACCAUUUUAAGAGACACCAACAGUCAAUCUAUGUCACCCCCCUGAGAGGCAAAGCACCCAUGAGACACACCAGCCCACAAGGUUGAUCUCCCUGGCAGAGCCAGUUUGAAAUUCCCUCCAGAUGAUGCAUGCCACAAACAACUAAAACACGACAUGGUGUGUCUUCUUGGGGUCACAUAUAACUAGUGAGACGCUACAAUAAGAGAAGGGCCAGGACCCAUCCAGAGUUGGAGAGGAAGGGAGGAAGGGGUGCUGAAAAGCAUUUAGGAAGAAAGUCACUUUCUAUGCUGACCUGGCCCAUUGACACGAAACAAAUCACAGAUGGAUUAAGGAACUAAAUGUAAAAUGUAUUGUAAAUGCAUACGCUGAGAAGGGGGGAGCAUAGAGGCAUGGACAUUUAACUGGUUGCAGCAUUAGCAGGGUGUUUUUAGACAUAAAGGUAAACAUAACUAGAUAUAACUAAAAUAUAAAACACAGGAAAAUAUGAAGGCAAGUCCAAAGCGGGAAGGUGCUCUUCCACCCGGUGGAAGAGACGAAUGGUCAGUGCUGCUGCCGAAACAGACCCUCAACAGUAUGAGAAACAAAACAGCCCCGUGGUUUGGCAAGAGGCACAAACAAAUUCACAAAUUGUAAGCCAUCAUUCACACAUCAUCACAUGUAUGUGUGUAUAUUUAGUUAACAUACUAGUAAAACAAAAAAGUCAAAGAUUCUGUUUCUCAUAUAUUAAAUUGACUUUCUAAAAACGCAUUGUGCAGUAGCAAAAACUGUGAUGGAGUAGGCUCUCAAAUACAAUGGUCAGAAGAGAGAAAAACUAUAACCUCAGGAAGCAGUUUACUAAUAGGCAUCAAGGCAUCAGGGUCUUUGAAAUGUUCCUAUUCUUUAUCAGUCAUUUUUCUUCCAGGAGUCUGGACUAGGAAACUAGAUUUGUAUUUUAUGGAUAAUGUUGUUCACCGUAGCUUUAUGUAUAACAGCAAAAAAAAAGGAGCUUCAUAUUAGGAGAGUGUUUAAAUCAAUCAAUAAAUGUUAUCAUUCGUAUGAGCUAAUAAUUGUUUCAAAGCUGACAAGUUGAAAUGCUCAUUUUAUACUAACAGUAAAAUAUAAAACAUAUGGAGUACAGUCAUAAAGUUUAAAAAGAAAAUAAUUAUACAGAGUAUCAUAUUUCAACUUGGUAUGAGGAUAAAUUUAAUGGUAUAUGAAUAAAAAUUCUAGACCAGAACUAGGAGACAAAUUUAUUCUUAGAAAUGUAAAUUUAUAUGCUCAAGCUCCAAAAUAUAAAUAGAAGAGGACUUUAAUUACAGCAUUAUUAGAAAGACAGAGGGUUUUGCUGCAUGGGCCAGAUGAUGUGACCAUAGCAAAGCAAGGUGUCCUUAGGUGCUGUUCCUAUUGUCCAGGCAGGGGGAAGCACAGUCCCCAUGCUCUGUGUAAGUCAGGCAUGACUGGGAUGUUUUCCUCCAUGUUUCCAGCAGUCUUGUUCAUUUCACUUUGACCAGUGGCAGGGAGGGAUCCUGCAGGACCAACUAGAAACCUUGUUAUAUCAGGGACUAGAGAGGGACUUAGGGAUGUUUAACCUGGAGAUAGGGAAAUUAAGGGACAACAUUCUCACCGACUGCUGGUAUAUGGAGGAAGAAAACUGUAAGUGGUUGCAGAGAGGGUAACUGUCUUUUCUGGGUCAGCAUUAAAGGGACAGAUAUUCCGUAUGGUACGUGCAAGUGUUUAUCUUAUAAAAGGUCACCCGUGGUGCCUAGCAGCAUCGUAAGGAAGGGAUGAUGUCUUAUGCCUCUUCUAACUGUGAGAGUAUGCGAUCCUAACUGAUGGUUGACCCGAUGGCCCAGUAAGCUGAGAAGGAAGGAAUGUGGAGGGAUGCAUAGAUUGUGUAAGCCUGUGGGCCUCAACUCACCUUUGGGGUAGAGUCACCUGCCACGAUGGCUCACACAGACUGCUGGGUCUACCCCAGAGUGUCUGAGUCACAGGGCUGGAGGGAGAUGUCUGGAUUUGCAUUUUGAAUAAAUUUUCUCAUGCUUUGAUUGCCUGAGAAUCACAUUUUCGGACCCACUGCAUCAGCCCAAUUGCAACAAAUAUGCUAGCACUUGCUGGUAUAGACAGUCCAGCAACAAAUUGUGGCAUUGGGGGGCACAUGCUGAAGAAUGACUUCCUUUCUUAGCUCUGACUCCUGGAAAAUGGACAGCAGCCCAUUCUUCCCAGCACCACAUUCCUGCCCUGAUCCUGGGGUAGUCCUACCUCCAGGCCAACCCAUUAGCACCAACCAUUAGGAUGGGAACAGGCACCACCAUCUACUGGUCUGUUAACUGCCCUUAGAUGGUAGGGAAGUGUGUUGUCCCCAAGAAGUGCAUGAAGAACUAGGGUCUUGGUCUAGAGCAUUAGGAUAGCUGUCUGUGUAUUGUUGACUGUUUUCCGUGACAUGGGAAGGAAGCUGUUCUCACCAAAGCACCUUGUUCAUUAUAGCGGAUAUGGGCAUGAUGUAAGAAGCCACAGAUAGAUCCCCAAAGUUUGGUGGUGAUAGAGUAAUUCUCAGUGACUCUGAGGGAUUUUAAUGUGUGCCCCCUUUGAUCAAAUCCGUUCAAACUGAGCCUCAUGUAUUUGAGUUUUCAGCUAAUUGGUUUAGGAAAAUAUCCAUGUGCACACCCCCACAACUCCUGCUGCUCUCUUUCCCAGCUUAUGGUGUAAAGUGUGAGCAGACUGUGUGCUUAACACACUUUGGAGUCUGUUGCUAUGGUGCUGGGGAGGAAUUUGGUUCUCAUAGCAACAUCAGGUUGACUUGACGCACCUCAGACCAUUGGCAGAGCUCAGGCAGGAGCUUGUGAUCCCAUGUAGUUUGGGACGGAUGGCACAUGGUGUACUGAAAAGUACUCUGUUCUCCCACAACCCAUCCACCCCUUCCUUCCUGCACUCACUCUUUUUUGUAAACCACAAGAAUAAGCCAAAGCAUUAAUUUGGUGUUGUUGUCAUAUUGCCAUUUUUGAGCUAUCCCUCCCUAUACCAAGGCCAAUCCCUGCACUGGCCUGUUGCUGGGAAGUCCAGUCAGAGGCCCAGGGUCUCGUGAGUGGGAACAGCUUUCUGAUCAAGACAAAGAUGACUAGGGAUUCUUCAUGCAACUUCUUUCUGGAGGCUCCUUAGCAGUGUUAAUACACUGGGUGGGACCAGCCCUGGGAAAGGCCACCAACCCACUUUGCAGAAGCUUUUCAACUCACUGAUAAAACAAACAGAGGGUCUCCACUCAUGUGCAUUUUAUGCACAGAACUGGCCUGUGGCUGUAGGACAUGCUUAGGAUCUGGGCAUCUGGCUAAACAAAGUAUAACAACCUGAAUCCAUCAUAACAGGAAGGAAAUCUGGCUGGUCUCUAUAGACCUUUGGUGAAGGAAAAGGCACACUCAUCCUGGCCACUCAGUGCAUUAUAGGGUCUCUUGUGGGAAACAGUCACAGCUUCCUGGUCACUGACCUACCGCUCACCAUGCCUUCAUUCUACAAAUGACCACUGAGCGUCUCCACGUGUGAAACUAGAUCACAAGACAGGACUUCUCUCCUAGUGCCCGUGAUCUAGCUGGGGUGGGGGUGGGGUAAACAGCCAAUAAGCCAGGAGAGAGAAGAAUCAGGGAUGGGGACUUAAGAUAGGGUGACAUGUUAGAGAGUAGGAGGGGAGCUGCAAGCUGGGGUGACUUGUAGAAAGAACUUCCCAGGGAGCAGGUGAAGGCAGGGCUCAGCCUUCCACUUAGGGGGAAGCAUAUCUGUAGCCCUCGUCCGCCUCAAGAAGAAAUGAGUCCUAAGUAACUUGCAUGGAACCACUGACUGUGUGUAGAAGGGAAGUGAAAUAGUGAGAUUCAUAUUUGUAAAGUGGCGCCACCUGCUUCAUUUCCCCUUUGCCUUUCCAUUUGUGAUUAUGUUCUAUAUUUUACAAGUGAAUAGUGGGUAAUUUGUAAAAAACUAGAGGACUGUUUAACUCGUAGUCUUAGACUUUGCUUGGUAUCUGGUGAAAGCUGUUUGCUUCAUCAUAACAUCAUAAAGGAUUUUACAUGGAAAGACACUAAGAGUUUAAAUAUUGAAUGUUCCCUAAAGAUCCCUGUGUCAAAGGGUUGCUCCAUAGCCUACUGUGCUGAUGGAAGGCGAUGGGACUUUUAGGAGGUAGAGCCUAGGGGCCCCGUGAAAAGAAGCUAGGUCACUGGGCCUGUGCCCUGCAAGGGAUUUGGAGAUCCCAGCCCCUUGUUUAUCUUUCUUCUUUCUGGCUGCCAUGAGGUGAGUAACUUCGCUCCUCCAUGCACCUCCACCAUGAUACGCUACCUCAUUGUGGGCCCAGUUUAAUGGGGCCAACCAACCAUGGAACACAUGACCCCAUGUAAACCCUUCAUAUCUGUAAAUUAUUCAUCUCAGAUAUUCCAUUACAAUGACAGUAAACCAACUUGUAAGCAGGCCAACUGUGUGUUAGCUCGGGUCUCUCUUCUUAUAAAGCCCCAAAUCCAUCAAGAGGAGGAUCCUUCCCUAUGACCUCACCUAAUCCUAAUUAUCUCCCACAGAUGCCAUCUCCAAAUGCCUGCAUGUCAACAACAGUUUGAGAGGCAUUCAGAACAAGACAGUGACAGUUAAGAAAGAGCAUUUAUUUAGUUGUUAUUAUACAUACAUAUCUGCAUAAGCAUGUAAUAACAACCUGCUGAGUCUACUUAGGUUGUAUGUGACUUUAGGGAUUAGGGGGCUCAUCCCUGAGGAAGAAUAAUUUUCCAGAUCUCAGCAGUCCUUAGAUGCCUACAGUUCUCUGUUUAGGGGUGAGGCCCUAUGAGAUUUUCCCCCUUCUAAUUUAGCAUAUCUAUUCAUGUUGCCCUUACUCACUUCUUGUUUAGGCAACCAUAUUAUUGGGGUAUCAUGGGUGAAGCUCCCCGUCAUUUCUUAGGGAAUAUGUAACAAGUCAGAGCCUAUUUACUUAAAAAAAAAAGAAAAGUGAAGGAAAAACCAUGUGAUGCAGCUUUGUGAUGGUUAGUUUCAACUGUUGAAUCUGACAUAGCUCAGUGAGUUAUUUAGAAUGAUUUGGCCUGUGCGCAUGUCUGUUGGUGGUUGUCUGACUGUUAAUCGAGGUGGAAAGGCACUCUGAAUGUGAGUGGUUUCACCUGCUGGACCCUGGCCUGGAUGGUUAGAGAACAGUAGCUGAGCAAUGGCAGCAAACGAGGAUCCAUGUGUGUGUCUGCUCCCUCUCUGCUCCGAUGCUCUAUUCUGCCUAGACCUCCAUGCAGUAAGAAAGCAUCACUUGGAAUUGUAAGAUAAAUAACAUUGAUACUGCUUUUAGUUAGGGUAUGUUAUCACAGCAGCAGAGGUGAUACUAGGAUACUUCUAUAAGCCAGGGGACAAUUUGUAAGUCAUACCUAUCUUGUUCUUUAGACUUAGUAAAUGAGGUUCUACUUUCUUCUCCUGCAACUGGGGGGGCAGUUAUUAUGCCACCCUUCAAAGUGCAUUGCCAUUCCUUUUCCACAGACUUACCUUACUGUGGGUUAGGUCCCUUACCUGCUUCCCUUCCCUCUGGACAACACUUUGCUGUGGCUCAGUGGCCACCAAGGAAAGAGCGCAGCUAAGACAAUGCAGAAGGGACAAUGUCUUCCUUCCCUGUACUCUGCAGAGGUCCCAGUGGAGCUGUGACAUGCAAGAACAAGUUGAGUUCUGAAGGAUCACAGACUCCAUCCAGCCUCUGUUUCUCAGAAGAUGAAGCUUAGCUGCUUGGGGGACAAUGAUCCUCCUUGGGUAGGGUCUUAAAGCUAGUGGUCUUUAUGCGCACUUUUAUUUACAGUACUUGGUUUUUAUUUUCUCUUCCUUUCCUGAUCAGUCUUCCCCACUCUUCACAAAAUCCUGGAGGUCUUCUUUGAUAUGCUAUAAUGGUAUAGUACUGGAAUGUCAAUUGCAACAGGUGGAAAAUUUGGCUGCUGCAUUGGGUUAUACUGAAGUUCUCAUUGUGGUGGUGAUUGCUGUCUUCAUGCUUUCUACUUGUGUGGUGUUUGGGUUUUCUUACAUCUUCCCUGACCUCCUGGGUCUUGCUAAUGUUCCUGUGACUGGGUGUGUUAGUCAUUAUUCUCUAGACUGAUGUGCCAGUGAGGUAGCCUGAACAUGCUGUUAAAGCUGCAAGUCCUUUGUCAUGUAUGACUGUAUCAUAGCCUAUGCCAUGCUGCCUCCUCUGGGCCAGGCUAUAGCGUGGAAAUUUGGACCGAGAGUGGUUUUCCCACUCCUGAGUCUGGCAGCAUGGCCAGGUCUCUCUGGUGCACAUCCACAUGCAGGUCCCCAUUUCUGUGGUGGUAUAUAGACUCCUCCUCCAUAACUUCAGAGGGUCUAUAUACCAUUCAUUUAGAAGUCAGAAUCUAAUAAUAGGCAAUGCCCACUGCUGCAGCAAUGAUAUAUCAGCAUCAUGUGACAAUAGACCAGCUUCUGUCCCUGACAGCCUUGCUGAAUCCAGCUAGCACAGAGAUGGAGGUUGACUGCAGUCACCCAACUGUUAGAUUCUAGAUUCCUUGGAAAGCUGUGUGGCUCCACAUGUGUAUCUAUGGCAGGAGAAUUACAUGUUUGGCAACCUUCUCUGUGGCAUGGCCAGCAGCAAUCAUAAGGAGCUUCUGUUGUCCACCUGUGCCUAACAUCACAUAGACAUUUUUGUGAGCUUUGUUGUUUUGUUACUAUGUAGCCCAGAAUGGGCUUAAACUUUUGAUUUUUCUGCCUCUGGCUUGUGAGUGCUGUUCUCCAGGUUACCCACCGUGUACAGCUUUCAGCUUUGUAGGUGCCAGUGCUGACUUGACUUUCAGAUGGGAAAACAGCCAAGAGAAGGCCCGAUUGGUUCAUCCGGGGUCUGUGUCCUAGAGAAGGUCAAGCUGGUCCCUUGCCUGCUCCCCUUUCCCCUGGAAAGCACCAAGGAAAAGAGCACAGCUGAGACAGUGCUCUGCAUGCUUCAGAGACACUAAUGUGCAAAGGAGCUAUGAUGUGUAAGGCGCAGGCACUGCCCACCUCAGCCACACAAUCCUGGCACCAAGGUCAAGAGGUCCAUCUUCUGGGUUCCUAUGGAACCAUGACCAAGUCUUUUGUCAUAAACUGGCCAAACAUAGCCGACUCACCACAGAGUGAAAGGGCCAGACUGCAAGUCCUCAAGGCCAGAGACACUGACACUUUCUUACAUUUGACAACUCAUUGUAGAUGGUUGAAUAUUUCCCUUGGGAAGUGUUUCUGGCUUCUUGUGUGCAGUUAAUGUGAAAUUGUUGCUUCUGGUUGCUCUUGGCCCCACUGCCUCGCCUUUCUGUACAUUAUAUCCUCAAGAUGUUUUUCACUGUUGCCACCGUGGCUGAUAACAAGUGAGUCUUCAGCCUGGCGAAUGUAUACAUUUUAAUAUACCUGUCCGGGGCAGAGAUUUUCUCACAGCGAUUGCCAUUAGUUUGGUUUCUGUGGCUGUGAGAAACACCAUAACUAGAAGCAACGUGAGGAAGACAGGGAAUUACAAAAAUGCCCCCACAGACUUGCUUACACCCCAGUCUUGUGGAGACAUUUUUCAAUUGAGAAUCCUUUUUCCCAGAUGACCCUAGCUUGUAUCAAGUUAACAAAGAUCUAACCAGCCCAGUGAAGCUGUAAUUAACAAGAUUCCCCCAGCCUCAGUGUUGGCCGGUGUUGACACAGGCUGACUGUCCUGCAGAGACAGUGCUGGUGCAGGCCACCAGAUCAAGAGGAAUGGGGGGAACAAAGAUUAAAGCAACCUAAAGUUGUUAGAGAAGAAUCAAAUAAACAAGCUAGAAGGAUGGAGAAUCCGGCUGAGCAGGGCGUCAGGGCAUCAUGCCACCUACACCACCUGCCCCAGCACAGAGCUCCCUGCCAGUGGCUGUUUGAUAAGCGUCGCAGGAAUUGCCAAGAUGGCUAACAGGGUGGCAGAAACUGAAGUCGCAGUCACAGCUUCCUCCCAGACCCUGGCUGUUGCUUGGGCAAGCACUAGCUGUGUACCCACAGAAAGCUACAGUAGAGAGCACACUGGAGCAGAAGUCCAGGCCAGACUCCAAGUGUGGAACCUGCUUGUGACUGGGGCAAGCUUGAGCCCCACUGGUGAGUAAAGUAUUUCUUGUCAUGCUUGUGACAAAGUCUCCAUGAAAUCGUGUGUGUGACACUCUCAGGAGACCUGUGCUAGGGGAUGGGUAGAGGGGGUAAGGCCUCUCUAUCUUCAUAACUCCAACACAUGGCACAGGGCAGGGAUAUACAAAGAUCUCAACAAACAAUAGGCGAGCAGUUGCUGGGUGGCUAGCUCAGGGACAGAGGGACAAGUAAAUGUACAAGGAAUGCUGGGUUACUCCUAAAGAUUCUUGUCACUUCCUUCUAAAGGGUUGCCUUGGCCUUUUGUGACAGGCAAGGAGGCUCUGCCCCUUUGUCAGACUAGGGACCCUUCCUGUCGCUGGAGUUGUCUGCACAGUGGGCACUGUGGAGGGUUUAACUGCUCGCUUUAGGAGGACUCUGACACUGAGCUCUAACCAGAAUACUGUGGCCCUUGACUGAACAGUCCCUCUUAUGGCCAGCUGAGUGUGUUCCUAGUGUACCUUUCUACCUAGAUACCUCCGCUUGGGUCCUCAGAGAGAGGAUAGUACCCCUAAGAGCAGAGUUGCCCAGGCUUGCUGGGCUGCAGAUGGAUAACCAUAAUCACAGAGAGAGGAUCUGGCCUUUUCUGAAGGGCCACCUGCUGCUGCCAUUGUCACAUUCUGUGCUCUGCUGCCAUCCUCUGCGGGGGUGGAGCUGCAUCUUGGCAGCCCUGGGCUAAUAAUUAGGGGUGGGGCAACUCCCCAGCUGGUGAGAUAUUUGGGGAGGGGCCUGGAAGAAAAGGGAGGGCUGGGAUCCAGCCAACAAAAGGAGGAAUUAAAGGGGCUGGCCCAGGAACCCAUAGUUAGCAUUUCAUCUCCAGCAGUCUCUGUAGGUUCCACAGAAGCAAGGCUUUGCCUCUGUGCCUUCCCGCUUUAUUGCUGAUGGAACCUAGACAUGAAACAACAAGACUCUGCUGAAGGUGGAGCACCAGGUCUUAGGAGUGAGCUCCCAAGGCCAAGGUGUCUCAGGAACAGAAGUUGGGAAAACAGGAGCAGCUUCCAAAGGGUUCUGCGUAUGUCCCAGACCACAGGCCCUUCUGUUGGAAUGGGUUAAAUGCCCUAAUGGAUAGACUGUCUUGGCAUCCUC
Long non-coding RNA from Mesocricetus auratus (golden hamster), 11055 nucleotides. RefSeq lists it as uncharacterized. The record is from RefSeq and is a predicted model, not a curated record. The transcript is spliced from 2 exons. NCBI's taxonomy places the organism in Eukaryota, Metazoa, Chordata, Mammalia, Rodentia, Cricetidae.